UGCUGACCACACUUACCACCAUCACAGUUACAGGACUUGCUGCUUUGUGGAUGGGGCGAGCAGUGGGGUAAAAGCUCUCCUUGUCCUGGUUUGCAUGAGAAAUGACAAAGUCACCUGUCUGGGGCAUUUUGGGGUGCCCAGAAUGGGUCACCUUCUUGGUUACUUUGCAGGAGAAGCUUCUGUGCAAAGGGCCCCUUAGAGGAGCACAGGAAAGGGGCAUCGGUCACAAAGUCCAUCAGCCAUCACUGUUUGCCCACGUGAGCUGACCUGACCGAGGCCACAGCAGAGCAGACAACGCCGAUUCAAAUGUGUGCAGAGGUGUGGCGGGAGGCCAGGGAUGGGAGGAAGCCUCCUGCAGAGGAGCCCUUUCAGGAGGGUCCCGUGCCCCUGCCUGCGAGUCCUGCUGGAGAGCAGUUGCUGAUUACAGGAGAAAGGAAGCAGCGGCCUGGGCCAAGGGGACAUGUGGUGCUUUCUGCCCCACUGCAGUGGCUUCUUACGGAACAGCAGCCCCCAGGCCAGCAAAGGCUGAGGGAGGGGACUCACUGCUCUUUCUCCAGGAAUCAGACACAGUGCCUGGAGUGGGGAGGGGCCCUGCAAGUCUCCUGAUCACAGUGCAGCCCCCUGGCCCCUCCCUGGCUGACUGACUGCACAGGAAGGGAGUCCUCUGUGCUGGCCACAGCACCUCCAGUCAGGCCCAUGGGCCUCAGUCUCCCCAAUUGUGGUUUGGGGUGACAACCUUGAAAGGGUCUCUCAAAGAUGCGGUGUAGAAGAACAAUGCCGGGCCCCACUCUGGGAAAACCCAGCACAGCAAACAGCGGGUAACAUGGAGCCCAAAUCGGAGCACUGCCGAGGACGGAGCCCCCAGAGCAGGAGAAAGGGAUCCCCGUGGGGCAGACAGAAACAGUCAUAGCAGAGACAGCAGCUGCAUCCCGGGGGUAGGGCGUCCGGCCCUGAGGUGCUUGCCUGCCUUCACUGGUCCCAUGGAAAUUCCUCAAAGAAGACCGGAGCAAGCCUGCAUCCCAGGAGAGGAGCUGGAUGCCACCAAGCCUAGCCAGCUGCAGGAGACCUGCAGAUGCCAGCCUGAGCCUGCCUGCCCCACA
This 1100-nucleotide long non-coding RNA is filed under the name Homo sapiens (human). Its description in RNAcentral is "HSALNT0145068". Lineage: Eukaryota; Metazoa; Chordata; Mammalia; Primates; Hominidae. The record is from RNAcentral.